RNAcentral lists this ribosomal RNA (253 nucleotides) under uncultured bacterium. RNAcentral's name for it is "partial 16S ribosomal RNA". It matches the Rfam family "Bacterial small subunit ribosomal RNA", at positions 524 to 776 of the family's 1533-position model. The record is from RNAcentral.
UACAGAGGUCUCAAGCGUUGUUCGGAUUCAUUGGGCGUAAAGGGUGCGUAGGCGGCGCGGUAAGUCGGGUGUGAAAUCUCGGGGCUUAACUCCGAAACUGCAUUCGAUACUGCCGUGCUUGAGGACUGGAGAGGAGACUGGAAUUUACGGUGUAGCGGUGAAAUGCGUAGAUAUCAGGAGGAACACCGGUGGCGAAGGCGCUCAUCUGGCCCAAUACUGACGCUGAGGCGCGAAAGCUAGGGGAGCAAACGGG